CAAUAGAUAUUAUUCAUCUGCAAUUCUUCUGGUUGGGAUAAAUUAGAUUCUGAUGACCUUUUCUGUUAUUCUGAUCCAAAAUUAUAUUACUGGUACACAACAAAUCUGUCAACUAUGGAUGCGCAGUCACUAUCCUCAGGCCACACCUAUUUUUAUCAAGGCCACUAUCUCAUUCUUCCGCCGCGUAUAAUCAUUCUGGCGCGAACUAAGCUCCCGGCGGUCGGCUGGAGGUGACCUUAGCCCUCAGGUCCCUUGCGAUGGGUGAAGUUAAUCCCGAACAUGGUGCUAAAUUCAGAUCGUUGCCACUGCCACCGUCAAGUUUUCCAUUGAGACGCAAGAUCAAGAGCCUGUUAAAUCUGUAACACCAGACCGAAUGAAGCAAUUGCAAGAUUGUUCAGGGUGCUGGCGAAGCGAUAGAUCUUGAAGGUUUGCAUGAAGAGUGCCUGAAUAAAUGUCCAGAGUUCUAAGAGGAAGUUAUUUGCUAUAUGGAAAUUGGGUUCUGUUUUACUCCUGGCAUUAAUGCAACUCAGCAAAAAGACAUCGGAAAGUCUAUUUGGAAGGUUACGAGCAACAAGCGCGGUUUACGAAGGAUUUAUUUUGCAAGCGCGUCCGAUUAUAAGAGGGAAAUUUGAUGAACGAUGCUUGAACCAUUAGAAAACCUUGACAGAUCAGCUACCGUGGUCGCCUUUCUCUCAAAUAAAAUUCAAUCUGAAUUCCUAUUAUUCCAAAGGUGCUAAAUCAGUUAUCUUGGCCAUCUCGUGGCCCAUCGGAGUGCACGUCACACCAGGAACUCGAAGACCCUUCCGGGUCAGGGCAGCAGUAUAUCUGUUGGCGUAGUCCAACGGAAGAACGACUCCUUCCCAAGGUCACGGUAGAGCCAUGGAAAUCCUCCUUGACCAUGCGCCACAAAAUAGGACCCGGGAAGUGUUGGGCGUUGAUGUUUUCAGUACCAUCGGCAACAUGAGCGCGCGACACUCCAUAGUAACAGUUCCCCGUGGUCAUCGUUACUUUUUAUAACCAGCACUUGGUUUCGGGGAAAAAGCGAUUUUGCUCCCUCACGCGUUUUGCUGCUGUAGUUUCGCCGAAAGAAAUGAAAAAACUGGCCUUGUUUCACGUGAGCGCUAGCUCGAGGAAAGCCGGGAGCGUAGCGCAGUUGGUUGAAGUUAGUAAGCGCGGGAAAUAUGCCUUCAUCGAAGAACUGGGAUAUCUGUUCUAUCCUCUGGCAGUCGAGACGUUCGGGACGUACUUUUCUGAGCUGAUCCGUUUCGCCGGCUGGAAGAUCCGCGAAGUUACUGGGGAACCUCGUUCUACGGCUUUUCUCAGACAACGUUUAAGCUUAGCAGUAGUCAGAGGAAAUGCAGCGGGCGUUUUAGGUACGCUGCGUGCACGUACUGACAAUAUGGAUUAUGGGUGUUUUUUCAAUGUUUAAAACUAUUCAUUUUAAUUGGUGUAAAUCUGCGCAGGCUUAUUGUUAAAAACUAGGUGAAAUUAGUUGAAUGAAUGAAUUAGAUGAAAUUUUUUCUGAAAUUUUUCUAUAGUUUCUACAUGUAUUUCGCUGCCACAUCAUUUUUUGACGAUUUACCUUUCUAGACAAAAUUAAUUAUUGCUGCACUUUAAAUUCUGUACUUUAAAUUCUUGAAAUUCUGUAUGGUAAUUUGGUAAACCGUGUUUUCGCAGACCGGAUUGCUUGCUAUGGGUUUUAGUAACUGCAGUAGGUAUGAGAUAGAUACUAGAUUGUAUGAACGUUGAACUGAAUCAGCUAAAUAAUUUCUAUUGUAAGGCAAAGGUAGUGCCUAGUCCUGCAUGAGUAAGCCAGGGUAGGUAAUACCGUCUUAGGUACGAAAUACCGGUAUCAGUAGGUUAAUAGAAAGGCUACCGUUUCAAGCAGCAUUUAAGAACAAGGAUUUUGUUCAAUUUGCGUGCUUAUAGCGGCAACUUUUUUGGCUUCGAGAUAGAUAUGGCACGGUUUGUUACCGCACGUAAUGCGAUUUUUGUUUCGUUACCGUAACCUCACGAAGCACCAGCGCAAUUCCAGGCAUUUCAAUGAACUCAAUGCAACCCUGUAGUUUUGGGACUUGUGCUGAGCCUUAAAAUAAAGUUUUAUUUUAAUUUUACUGACGUAGAACAAACAGAAGAUAAAAUUUGCAGAGCAGUCAAAGUACUAGUUACUGGAGAGCAGCGAUGCAUUAUGGCUGUCCAGUUGUCUCCGUACCACAAAAUCAUGCCUGCGCUUUUAAACACCGUGUUUUCAUCGUGGAACAUCAUGUUUAAUUUUUUAACAUCCUCUCUGCUUUUCGAUGAAAUCAUUUCUGUGUUUUUCACCGUUCGCAACCAUCAUGAGCGUUAACAUACUGUACUGUAAUGCACUAAGCCCAACGAAUCGCCAUAAUGCAUCUGUAUCUCUACUAUCUAAUAAUAAUAUUAUAUCUAUUAUUAUUAGAUAUGUAAUAUUAUUAGAUAUUAUCUA
Molecule: long non-coding RNA, 2467 nt
Organism: Paramacrobiotus metropolitanus
Lineage: Eukaryota; Metazoa; Tardigrada; Eutardigrada; Parachela; Macrobiotidae
Exons: 5
Source: RefSeq, a predicted model, not a curated record